AUUGAACGCUGGCGGCAGGCUUAACACAUGCAAGUCGAGCGAGCGGCGGACGGGUGAGUAAUGUCUGGGAAACUGCCUGCUGGAGGGGGAUAACUACUGGAAACGGUAGCUAAUACCGCAUACCAUCAGAUGUUCCCAGAUGGGAUUAGCUAGGUGGGGGGGUAAUGGCUCACCUGGGCGACGAUCCCUAGCUGGUCUGAGAGGAUGACCGGCCACACGGGAGCUGAGACAGGGUCCAGACGACUACGGGAGGCAGCAGUGGGGAAUAUUGCACAGUGGGCGGAAGCCUGAUGCAGCGAGGCGGCGGGUGAGAAGAAGGCCUUCGGGUUGGAAAGCACGUUCAGGGAGGAGGCGUUACUCGCAGAAGAAGCACCGGCUAACUCCGUGCCAGCAGCCGCGGUAAUAC
RNAcentral lists this ribosomal RNA (406 nucleotides) under uncultured bacterium. RNAcentral's name for it is "partial 16S ribosomal RNA". It matches the Rfam family "Bacterial small subunit ribosomal RNA", at positions 29 to 526 of the family's 1533-position model. The record is from RNAcentral.